Molecule: long non-coding RNA, 814 nt
Organism: Ruditapes philippinarum (Manila clam)
Lineage: Eukaryota; Metazoa; Mollusca; Bivalvia; Venerida; Veneridae
Exons: 2
Source: RefSeq, a predicted model, not a curated record
UAUUUGUUUUACACAUAAAUUUUGAAAUGUUUUUCAUUUGUCAACACCAUCAAUUCUAUUUUCACUCAUGGCUAUGCCACUCAUGAACAUAUUGCAUCUGGUGUUCACUCAGUAAAAUAUAUUUCAAUCUUACAUGCAAAAGAAACAAAUAUCCUCUAUUUAUAUCAUGGGGACAUAGCCAUCAAAGUAAAUGCAAAAGUAUCAGAUAUCAAGUUAAAUUACAUCUAAUUUUGCCGGUACUUAUUUAGGCCAUGUGAAAUAUGACAUUGACCACCAAAUUGACAUGAUUCUGUAAAUUGAAUACAUUUCAGCUACGUUCUUAAGAUAUUUUUCUUUACUUUACAGCAUCAUGCUGUACAGCAACUGUAACUGAUGUUGGUACAUCACAAAAGACCAGUAAUUCGACAAUGCCAACAUUGACAGAACCAACUCAGCCAAAGAAAAGAAGGAAAACCAUCAAAGAGCAAAUUGAAGAACAGACACUCAAAAAUGUAAAACUUGACAACCAAAGACUAGAAAUUCAAAUUAAAAAAGAUGAACAAGAUUUAAUCAAAAUACAGAAUGAAAAUGAAUUAUAUAAAACCCAACUUAUUUAUUACUCUUUAAAACUGCAACAGGAAUUCAAUUUUGUAAUACAGCCAGAUGAAUAGAUUUUUAUUAAUAGGUUAUAGUUCAUAUGUUAGAAUUAAAUACAAUUCAAGUGCAAGUGACUUCUCCACUUAAUUUCAGUUACCGGACUGAUUGGAAAAAAAAUCCAUCAGUUUGACUCAAAUUGGGAGCCAUGAAAUUAUGCAUAAUAUACACUUUGAAACCA